UCGGGAAUUUUGGGCAAUGGGCGAAAGCCUGACCCAGCAACGCCGCGUGAGGGAUGAAGUAUUUCGGUAUGUAAACCUCGAAAGAAUGGGAAGAAUAAAUGACGGUACCAUUUAUAAGCUCCGGCUAACUGCGUGCCAGCAGCCGCGGUAAUACGAAGGGGGCUAGCGUUGUUCGGAAUUACUGGGCGUAAAGCGCACGUAGGCGGAUACUUAAGUCAGGGGUGAAAUCCCGGGGCUCAACCCCGGAACUGCCUUUGAUACUGGGUGUCUAGAGUCCGGAAGAGGUGAGGGGAAUUCCGAGUGUAGAGGUGAAAUUCGUAGAUAUUCGGAGGAACACCAGUGGCGAAGGCGGCUCACUGGUCCGGUACUGACGCUGAGGUGCGAAAGCGUGGGGAGCAAACA
RNAcentral lists this ribosomal RNA (402 nucleotides) under uncultured bacterium. Its description in RNAcentral is "bacterial SSU rRNA". It matches the Rfam family "Bacterial small subunit ribosomal RNA", at positions 355 to 774 of the family's 1533-position model. The record is from RNAcentral.